CGUCACAUCCUUUCCUUUUUUAAAAAUUCGAUACAGAGAAGAUUAGCAUGGCCCCUGCAAAAGGAUAACACGUAAAUCCGUGAAGCGCACCAUACUUUU
Molecule: small nuclear RNA, 99 nt
Organism: Labeo rohita (rohu)
Lineage: Eukaryota; Metazoa; Chordata; Actinopteri; Cypriniformes; Cyprinidae
Source: RefSeq, a predicted model, not a curated record